Non-coding RNA from Schistosoma margrebowiei, 50 nucleotides. The record is from Rfam. NCBI's taxonomy places the organism in Eukaryota, Metazoa, Platyhelminthes, Trematoda, Strigeidida, Schistosomatidae.
AUCCAGCUGACGAGUCCUAAAUAGAACGAAACGCGUGUCGAACUUUGCUU